GACGAACGCUGGCGGCGUGCUUAACACAUGCAAGUCGAACGGAAAGGCCCUGCUUUUGUGGGGUGCUCGAGUGGCGAACGGGUGAGUAACACGUGAGUAACCUGCCCUUGACUUUGGGAUAACUUCAGGAAACUGGGGCUAAUACCGGAUAGGAGCUCCUGCUGCAUGGUGGGGGUUGGAAAGUUUCGGCGGUUGGGGAUGGACUCGCGGCUUAUCAGCUUGUUGGUGGGGUAGUGGCUUACCAAGGCUUUGACGGGUAGCCGGCCUGAGAGGGUGACCGGCCCCAUUGGGACUGGGCUACGGCCCAGACUCCUACGGGAGGCAGCGGUGGGGAAUAUGGCACAAUGGGCGGAAGCCUGAGGCAGCAACGCCGGGUGCGGGAUGACGGCCUUCGGGUGGUAAACCGCUUUCGCCUGUGACGAAGCGUGAGUGACGGUAAUGGGUAAAGAAGCACCGGCUAACUACGG
This 467-nucleotide ribosomal RNA is filed under the name uncultured bacterium. Its description in RNAcentral is "partial 16S ribosomal RNA". It matches the Rfam family "Bacterial small subunit ribosomal RNA", at positions 28 to 506 of the family's 1533-position model. The record is from RNAcentral.